UGCGUAGGCGGCCUAUUAAGUUGGAUGUGAAAUACCCGGGCUUAACUUGGGGGUGCAUCCAAAACUGGCAGGCUAGAGUGCAGGAGAGGGAAGCGGAAUUCCUAGUGUAGCGGUGAAAUGCGUAGAUAUUAGGAGGAACACCAGUGGCGAAGGCGGCUUUCUGGACUGUAACUGACGCUGAGGCACGAAAGCGUGGGGAGCAAACA
This 206-nucleotide ribosomal RNA is filed under the name uncultured bacterium. RNAcentral's name for it is "partial 16S ribosomal RNA". It matches the Rfam family "Bacterial small subunit ribosomal RNA", at positions 568 to 774 of the family's 1533-position model. The record is from RNAcentral.